This 492-nucleotide ribosomal RNA is filed under the name uncultured bacterium. Its description in RNAcentral is "partial 16S ribosomal RNA". It matches the Rfam family "Bacterial small subunit ribosomal RNA", at positions 30 to 507 of the family's 1533-position model. The record is from RNAcentral.
AUUGAACGCUGGCGGCAUGCUUUACACAUGCAAGUCGAACGGUAACAGGCCUUCGGGUGCUGACGAGUGGCGAACGGGUGAGUAAUGCAUCGGAACGUGCCCAGAGGUGGGGGAUAACGCAGCGAGAGCUGUGCUAAUACCGCAUGUGAUCUGAGGAUGAAAGCGGGGGACCAGGCAGCAAUGUUUGGCCUCGCGCCUUUGGAGCGGCCGAUGUCAGAUUAGGUAGUUGGUGGGGUAAAGGCCUACCAAGCCGACGAUCUGUAGCUGGUCUGAGAGGACGACCAGCCACACUGGGACUGAGACACGGCCCAGACUCCUACGGGAGGCAGCAGUGGGGAAUUUUGGACAAUGGGCGCAAGCCUGAUCCAGCAAUGCCGCGUGCGGGAAGAAGGCCUUCGGGUUGUAAACCGCUUUUGUACGGAACGAAAAGGCUCUGGCUAAUACCUGGGGCUGAUGACGGUACCGUAAGAAUAAGCACCGGCUAACUACGUG